Molecule: unclassified non-coding RNA, 264 nt
Filed under: uncultured fungus
Lineage: Eukaryota; Fungi
Description: partial contains small subunit ribosomal RNA, internal transcribed spacer 1, and 5.8S ribosomal RNA
Rfam family: Eukaryotic small subunit ribosomal RNA (bases 1-73)
Source: RNAcentral
ACAAACUUGGUCAUUUAGAGGAAGUAAAAGUCGUAACAAGGUUUCCGUAGGUGAACCUGCGGAAGGAUCAUUAACGAGUAAAUCAUGGGUUUGAUGCUGGUACUUGACUGUACAUGUGCUCGCCCGAUCCACUCAUACCUCACACCUGUGAACUUAUUAUUAUCACAAACUCUUGUAUUGAUGAAUGAACGUUAUGGGUUAAUAAAUGUUAAUACAACUUUCAACAACGGAUCUCUUGGCUCUCGCAUCGAUGAAGAACGCAGC